CGGAGAACGCUGGCGGCGUGCCUAACACAUGCAAGUCGAGCGGAGUCGAUCGACGGAAGCCUUCGGGCGGAAGAUGGUUGACUUAGCGGCGGAUGGGUGAGUAACGCGUGGGCAACCUGCCUCGAAGACCGGGAUAACAGACCGAAAGGGCUGCUAAUACCGGAUGUGGUCAAGGAUCCGCAUGGAUCUUUGAUUAAAGGGGAAACCCGUUUCGAGAUGGGCCCGCGUCCUAUCAGCUAGUUGGUGAGGUAAAAGCUCACCAAGGCGACGACGGGUAGCCGGCCUGAGAGGGUGACCGGCCACACUGGAACUGAGACACGGUCCAGACUCCUACGGGGGGCAGCAGUGGGGAAUCUUCCACAAUGGGCGAAAGCCUGAUGGAGCGACGCCGCGUGAGCGAAGAAGGCCUUCGGGUUGUAAAGCUCUGUCUGGAGGGACGAAGGAAGUGACGGUACCUCCGGAGGAAGCCACGGCUAACUACGUG
Molecule: ribosomal RNA, 484 nt
Filed under: uncultured bacterium
Lineage: Bacteria
Description: bacterial SSU rRNA
Rfam family: Bacterial small subunit ribosomal RNA
Source: RNAcentral